CUGCACUGGUAUAUGUCACUGUAUUAUAAUCAAGGAAAGGCAAGAGUCUCCGAAGCACUAGAUUUGCAGCUUUGCACCCACCGUGUGCCGGUGACUGCCGAGGCGGGCGUGGAGCCCCACGGUCGGUGCUGAAGGAGGCGCGCUCGCAUCCGCCGCAGCAGAACUGCUCAGAGGAGUCAGGCUGGUGCUGGACAUUGAUCCCCAGCUCUCCGCAGCAGCAGUCAUGCCAUUAUUGUAGCUUCCUAACUUAAUUAAUGGUAUGAACUUUGAGUUCUCAGAACCUCAUUGAUUUGGAGCAAGUGUGCCCUAUCAGUUUACGGAAUACAAAUCACACCCGGCAACAGCUUUUAUUAGCUCUCCGCAGCCUGGAAGCCUACCUGAUGCCAUGUAAGAAAUGAGAGCAGUAUGUCCUUGCCUCCUGCAGUGAGCAGGAUUUGAGAGACGUCAGAGGACCAGACCUUGCCAGCAGCAGUUUCCUGUGCUUUUUUUCAGCCCCAGCUGUUUUGAAAAUAAUAAUAGUUAUCCGAAACACACAAAGGAAGAAUAUGUCCUGAAAAUACUUCAGAAAGUGAUGUCUGUCUGAGUUGUCAGAAAGCCUGAAAUAAAGAUGCAUGGACUGUACCUACUCAUCUCAGUAUAUGUAUGUGGCACCUCAGUGGUCUUGGGAUUAUGCAAGUCCCACAGCUGUUGGCACAGAGCGUGGAGCCAGUCAGAGUCCCAAGAUGCCUUAAUGGCAGUUAACCACGAGGCAUCGCCAUUCUGGAUCAGCUUGGAGGAGCCAGCACUGGAGCAGAAAAUCGUCAGCAGGUCUCGAGACUGGGAGCAAUGAACCAGCACGCCCCGGGGAGCUCGCGGCAGAAGCGAAAGGUUUAG
RNAcentral lists this long non-coding RNA (873 nucleotides) under Anser brachyrhynchus (Pink-footed goose). Its description in RNAcentral is "lncRNA (ENSABRG00000017614.1)". The record is from RNAcentral. Lineage: Eukaryota; Metazoa; Chordata; Aves; Anseriformes; Anatidae.